Asparagus officinalis (garden asparagus) is the source of this 497-nucleotide long non-coding RNA. RefSeq lists it as uncharacterized. NCBI's taxonomy places the organism in Eukaryota, Viridiplantae, Streptophyta, Magnoliopsida, Asparagales, Asparagaceae. The transcript is spliced from 3 exons. The record is from RefSeq and is a predicted model, not a curated record.
UUUAGACACAUCGUUUUAUGCUUGUCCGGGAAGAUUUCAGCUGAAUUAUUUGGAGAAGUUUUGGACCAAAUAGAUUUAGACGCUGGCGCACAGGCUGGACUUGCUGGCGGAAGCAGUAGUGGCGUGCAGAGGAGGGAACAUGACGAUGAGGAUGACUCUUGAUUUUAUGAGGAACGGUGGCAAUCACUUCUAAGCCAAGGGAGGAGUGUUAUUGUUGUUGGUGAUCUCUAGAGGAAAAAAUGCUCGUGGACUUGGAUAUCGGUUUGUCAUAUUUUUAAAUAAUCAUGUGUGACUUUGUUGUGGAAAAAAUAAUCAUGUGUGACUUGGAUAUCGGUUUGUGUUGAGCCCAAAAACAAACAGUGAGUUGAUUGAGUCAGUUUACAAAUUUAUAUGCGUAUGUGGAUGAUUAUAAGUUGGCAGACGAGAGAGAUGGGAGAGAUGAUAUGUAUAUGUGAUUUUUAUGUGUGACUUUGUUGUGAUUUUUAUUGUUGAUUAUA